This 23-nucleotide non-coding RNA is filed under the name Arabidopsis thaliana (thale cress). Lineage: Eukaryota; Viridiplantae; Streptophyta; Magnoliopsida; Brassicales; Brassicaceae. The record is from RNAcentral.
GAUCACAGGACUUCGGAUUUGGU